CCUACGGGGGGCAGCAGUGGGGAAUAUUGGACAAUGGGCGAAAGCCUGAUCCAGCCAUGCCGCGUGUGUGAAGAAGGCCUUCGGGUUGUAAAGCACUUUCAGUGGGGAAGAAAGCCUUGGGGCUAAUACCCUCGAGGAAGGACAUCACCCACAGAAGAAGCACCGGCUAACUCCGUGCCAGCAGCCGCGGUAAUACGGAGGGUGCGAGCGUUAAUCGGAAUUACUGGGCGUAAAGCGCGCGUAGGCGGUCUGAUAAGCCGGUUGUGAAAGCCCCGGGCUCAACCUGGGAACGGCAUCCGGAACUGUCAGGCUAGAGUGCAGGAGAGGAAGGUAAAAUUCCCGGUGUAGCGGUGAAAUGCGUAGAGAUCGGGAGGAAUACCAGUGGCGAAGGCGGCCUUCUGGACUGACACUGACGCUGAGGUGCGAAAGCGUGGGUAGCAAACAGGAUUAGAUACCCUGUAGUC
RNAcentral lists this ribosomal RNA (464 nucleotides) under Vreelandella stevensii. RNAcentral describes it as "partial 16S ribosomal RNA". It matches the Rfam family "Bacterial small subunit ribosomal RNA", at positions 338 to 795 of the family's 1533-position model. The record is from RNAcentral. Lineage: Bacteria; Pseudomonadati; Pseudomonadota; Gammaproteobacteria; Oceanospirillales; Halomonadaceae.